This 209-nucleotide ribosomal RNA is filed under the name uncultured prokaryote. RNAcentral describes it as "partial 16S ribosomal RNA". It matches the Rfam family "Bacterial small subunit ribosomal RNA", at positions 524 to 732 of the family's 1533-position model. The record is from RNAcentral.
UACGGGGGGGGCAAGCGUUGUUCGGAAUUACUGGGCGUAAAGGGUGCGUAGGCGGCUUUCUAAGUUGGAUGUGAAAACUCUGGGCUCAACCCAGAGCCUGCAUCCAAAACUGGAGAGCUUGGGUACUGGAGGGGAAAGCGGAAUUCCGGGUGUAGCGGUGGAAUGCGUAGAGAUCCGGAGGAAGACCGGUGGCGAAGGCGGUCUGCUGG